Molecule: ribosomal RNA, 733 nt
Filed under: uncultured bacterium
Lineage: Bacteria
Description: bacterial SSU rRNA
Rfam family: Bacterial small subunit ribosomal RNA
Source: RNAcentral
GGCUCAGGAUGAACGCUAGCGACAGGCUUAACACAUGCAAGUCGAGGGGCAGCACAGGUAGCAAUACUGGGUGGCGACCGGCGCACGGGUGCGUAACGCGUAUGCAACCUACCUAUAAUAGGGGGAUAGCCUUCUGAAAGGGAGAUUAAGACCGCAUAAUACAACUGAAUCGCAUGGAUUAGUUGUAAAAUAUUUAUAGAUUAUAGAUGGGCAUGCGUCUGAUUAGAUAGUUGGAGAGGUAACGGCUCACCAAGUCAACGAUCAGUAGGGGUUCUGAGAGGAAGGUCCCCCACACCGGAACUGAGACACGGUCCGGACUCCUACGGGAGGCAGCAGUGAGGAAUAUUGGUCAAUGGGCGAGAGCCUGAACCAGCCAAGUCGCGUGAAGGAAGAAGGUCUUAUGGAUUGUAAACUUCUUUUAUAGGGGAAUAAAGAUGAGUACGUGUACUCAGUUGUAGGUACCCUAAGAAUAAGGAUCGGCUAACUCCGUGCCAGCAGCCGCGGUAAUACGGAGGAUCCGAGCGUUAUCCGGAUUUAUUGGGUUUAAAGGGUGCGUAGGCGGGUUGAUAAGUCAGUGGUGAAAGGUUUGCGCUCAACGUAGACAUUGCCAUUGAAACUGUCAGUCUUGAGUACAAAUGAGGUAGGCGGAAUGUGUUGUGUAGCGGUGAAAUGCAUAGAUAUGACACAGAACACCAAUUGCGAAGGCAGCUUACUGGACAAAUACUGACGCUGA